This 366-nucleotide ribosomal RNA is filed under the name Corynebacterium sp. F16/12. RNAcentral's name for it is "bacterial SSU rRNA". It matches the Rfam family "Bacterial small subunit ribosomal RNA", at positions 367 to 740 of the family's 1533-position model. The record is from RNAcentral. Lineage: Bacteria; Bacillati; Actinomycetota; Actinomycetes; Mycobacteriales; Corynebacteriaceae.
CACAAUGGGCGCAAGCCUGAUGCAGCGACGCCGCGUGGGGGAUGAAGCCCUUCGGGUUGUAAACUCCUUUCGCUAUCGACGAAGCCACUUGUGGUGACGGUAGGUAGAUAAGAAGCACCGGCUAACUACGUGCCAGCAGCCGCGGUAAUACGUAGGGUGCAAGCGUUGUCCGGAAUUACUGGGCGUAAAGAGCUCGUAGGUGGUUUGUCGCGUCGUCUGUGAAAUCCCGGGGCUUAACUUCGGGCGUGCAGGCGAUACGGGCAUAACUUGAGUGCUGUAGGGGAGACUGGAAUUCCUGGUGUAGCGGUGAAAUGCGCAGAUAUCAGGAGGAACACCGAUGGCGAAGGCAGGUCUCUGGGCAGUUAC